This 243-nucleotide ribosomal RNA is filed under the name uncultured Actinomycetales bacterium. RNAcentral's name for it is "partial 16S ribosomal RNA". It matches the Rfam family "Bacterial small subunit ribosomal RNA", at positions 88 to 334 of the family's 1533-position model. Lineage: Bacteria; Bacillati; Actinomycetota; Actinomycetes; Actinomycetales. The record is from RNAcentral.
UACUCGAGUGGCGAACGGGCGAGUAACACGUGGGUGAUCUGCCCUGCACUUCGGGAUAAGCUUGGGAAACUGGGUCUAAUACCGGAUAGGAGCCAUCUUUAGUGUGGUGGUUGGAAAGUUUUUUCGGUGUAGGAUGAGCUCGCGGCCUAUCAGCUUGUUGGUGGGGUAAUGGCCUACCAAGGCGGCGACGGGUAGCCGGCCUGAGAGGGUGUACGGCCACAUUGGGACUGAGAUACGGCCCAG